RNAcentral lists this ribosomal RNA (497 nucleotides) under uncultured bacterium. RNAcentral describes it as "bacterial SSU rRNA". It matches the Rfam family "Bacterial small subunit ribosomal RNA", at positions 791 to 1286 of the family's 1533-position model. The record is from RNAcentral.
UAGUCCACACCGUAAACGAUGAAUGCCAGUCGUCAGAGGGCUUGCCCUUUGGUGACACACCUAACGGAUUAAGCUCUCCGCCUGGGGAGUACGGUCGCAAGAUUAAAACUCAAAGAAAUUGACGGGGGCCCGCACAAGCGGUGGAGCAUGUGGUUUAAUUCGAAGCAACGCGCAGAACCUUACCUACCCUUGACAUGCCGGUCGCGAUUUCCAGAGAUGGAUUUCUUCAAUUCGGUUGGACCGUGCACAGGUGCUGCAUGGCCGUCGUUAGCUCGUGUCGUGAGAUGUUGGGUUAAGUCCCGCAACGAGCGCAACCCUCGCCGUUAGUUGCCAGCACUUCGGGUGGGAACUCUAACGGGACUGCCUGUGAAAGCAGGAGGAAGGCGAGGAUGACGUCUAGUCAGCAUGGUCCUUACGAUCUGGGCUACACACGUGCUACAAUGGCAGGUACAGAGCGCAGCCACUUCGCGAGAAGGCGCUAAUCGCUUAAAGCCUGU